Molecule: small RNA, 1093 nt
Filed under: Arabidopsis thaliana (thale cress)
Lineage: Eukaryota; Viridiplantae; Streptophyta; Magnoliopsida; Brassicales; Brassicaceae
Description: ATSL062340
Source: RNAcentral
AUGUAAAUAUCAAGUUUUAUCUCACUCUUUUGCAUAUAGUCGAAAACCUCCAAUGCUUUCUCUAGCUUCCCGUUAUUACAGAGUCCAUCUAACAAAAUGCUGUAUGUCAUUAUAUCAGGAGGUACACCAUCAGAAACCAUCUGUUUGAAAACCUUUUGGGCAUUAUCACAGUCGCCAUCAUGAAAAAGCCCUUGGAUAAGAGUGGUGUAAGUGACUGUAUCGCCAACCAAUCCUCUAUGAGACAUCUCGCGGAAGAGUUCCGUACCAUCUUCUACUCUCUUAGACUUGCAAAAUCCCUUUAUGAGAGUAUUAUAUGUAACUACAUCUGGGAAACAGUCCUUGCUAACCAUGAACUCAAACAUCUGCUUGGCCUUGUCUAGACGAUCAUGCAUACAGAACCCGUUGACCAAUGAAUUGUAAGUGAAAAUAUCAGGAUCUAUAGACCUUUUGAUCAUGUCAUCGUACAAUUUCUCAGCCUCUACAAACUUUCCUUCUUUCACAAACGCAUCGAUCAAUGCAUUGAACGUGACUAAAUUAGGGUUGAUUUUCUUCUCAAUCAUAUCACUCAGUAGUUGAGAGGCAUCACUCCAUCUUCCAUAACUACAAAGGCAACUUAUGAGGGAGCUGUAGGUAACAACAUUUGGUCUAAUUCCUUUGGUUUCCAUUUCUUUGAAUAGGUUGAGCGCAUCAUCCACAUGUCUAUAUUUGCAGAGACUAUCAAUGAUUGUGUUGAAGAUAACAACAUCCGCCUCUAUUUUCGCAGCUUCCAUCUUGUUGAGCAGAUUUAAAGCCAAAUCAGUAUCACCUCUCUUACAUAAUCCAUUUACUACCACUCCAUAAGUAACCAGAUUUGGUUGACAGCCUCUUUGAACCAUUCGAUCAACUAACGCCACAGCUUCAGAAGCUUUGUUGUGGAGAAAAAGCCCAUGAAUCAAAGUUGUAAAUGUGAUUGUGUCAGGUCUAUACCCCAUUUCCACCAUUUGAUCAACCAAAGCUACAGCAUCUGAAAUCCUCUUACCGUGACAGUAUCCAUUGAGAAGAGAAGAAAGCGUGACAAUGCUGGGCUCAUAGCCGAGUUUCAUCAUCUUGCCAA